UACACAUGCAGUCGNCGGUGAANCGGAGCUUGCUCUGUGGGAUCAGUGGCGAACGGGUGAGUAACACGUGAGCAACCUGCCCCUGACUCUGGGAUAAGCGCUGGAAACGGCGUCUAAUACUGGAUAUGUGACGUGACCGCAUGGUCUGCGUCUGGAAAGAAUUUCGGUUGGGGAUGGGCUCGCGGCCUAUCAGCUUGUUGGUGAGGUAAUGGCUCACCAAGGCGUCGACGGGUAGCCGGCCUGAGAGGGUGACCGGCCACACUGGGACUGAGACACGGCCCAGACUCCUACGGGAGGCAGCAGUGGGGAAUAUUGCACAAUGGGCGCAAGCCUGAUGCAGCAACGCCGCGUGAGGGACGACGGCCUUCGGGUUGUAAACCUCUUUUAGCAGGGAAGAAGCGAAAGUGACGGUACCUGCAGAAAAAGCGCCGGCUAACUACGUGCCAGCAGCCGCGGUAAUACGUAGGGCGCAAGCGUUAUCCGGAAUUAUUGGGCGUAAAGAGCUCGUAGGCGGUUUGUCGCGUCUGCUGUGAAAUCCGGAGGCUCAACCUCCGGCCUGCAGUGGGUACGGGCAGACUAGAGUGCGGUAGGGGAGAUUGGAAUUCCUGGUGUAGCGGUGGAAUGCGCAGAUAUCAGGAGGAACACCGAUGGCGAAGGCAGAUCUCUGGGCCGUAACUGACGCUGAGGAGCGAAAGGGUGGGGAGCAAACAGGCUUAGAUACCCUGGUAGUCCACCCCGUAAACGUUGGGAACUAGUUGUGGGGUCCAUUCCACGGAUUCCGUGACGCAGCUAACGCAUUAAGUUCCCCGCCUGGGGAGUACGGCCGCAAGGCUANAACUCANAGGAAUUGACGGGGACCCGCACAAGCGGCGGAGCAUGCGGAUUAAUUCGAUGCAACGCGAAGAACCUUACCAAGGCUUGACAUAUACGAGAACGGGCCAGANAUGGUCAACUCUUUGGACACUCGUAAACAGGUGGUGCAUGGUUGUCGUCNNCU
RNAcentral lists this ribosomal RNA (997 nucleotides) under Microbacterium sp. SVK_16S_27f. RNAcentral describes it as "bacterial SSU rRNA". It matches the Rfam family "Bacterial small subunit ribosomal RNA", at positions 50 to 1060 of the family's 1533-position model. Lineage: Bacteria; Bacillati; Actinomycetota; Actinomycetes; Micrococcales; Microbacteriaceae. The record is from RNAcentral.